Long non-coding RNA from Salvelinus fontinalis (brook trout), 4355 nucleotides. RefSeq lists it as uncharacterized. The transcript is spliced from 5 exons. NCBI's taxonomy places the organism in Eukaryota, Metazoa, Chordata, Actinopteri, Salmoniformes, Salmonidae. The record is from RefSeq and is a predicted model, not a curated record.
CUCUCCGCUCCCCCUCUCCGGUGCUCAACGUUGCUGGUCUACUAUCCACCGGUCCUGGCAACACAUCUUUACACACACCUGGCAACCAUCAGUAUGCACACCGGCGUCACAUCAUCAGUCACACCUGGACUUCAUCACACCGUUGAUUACUUACCCAUUAUAAAGCACUCUUUUGUUAUCAGUCAUCGGGUAGUAGUGUAUUUGUUUCAAUGUCAGACGCUUCUCUUGGUUUGUAUCGCUCGAUGUUCAUUAUAGUAAACUCACUAACUGCACCUACUUUCUGACUCCCUCUGUCUACGUUACAAGACCCCUUGACUUUUUCCACAUUUUGUUAUGUGAAAAACAUAUGCUGAAAUAGAUUAAAUAAAUUAAAAUGCUCAUCAAUAUACACAAAAUACCCCAUAACGAGAAAGCGAAAACAGGUUUUUAUGAAUUGAAAAAACUGAAAUACCUUAUUUAAAUAAGUAUUCAUACCCUUUGCUAUGAGACUCGAAAUUGAGCUCAGGUGCAUCCUGUUUCCAUUGAUCCUCCUUGAGAUGUUUUUACAACUUGAUUGGAGUCCACCUGUGGUAAAUUCAAUUGACUGGACAUGAUUUGGAAAGGCACACACCUGCCUAUGUAAGGUCCCACAAUUGACAGUGCAUGUCAAAGCAAAAACCAAGCCAUGACGUCCCAAGAACACAGUGGCCUCCAUCAUUCUUGAAUGGAAGAAGUUUGGAACCACCAAGACUCUUCCUCAAGCUGGUCGCCCGGCCAAACUGAAACAUCGAUGGAGAAGGGCCUUGGUCAGGGAGGUGAUCAAGAACCUGAUGGUAACUCUGAAAGAGCUCUAGAGUUCCUCUGUGGAGAUGGGAGAACCUUCCAGAAGGACAACCAUCUCUGCAGCAUUCCACCAAUCAGGCCUUUAUGGUAGAGUGGCCAGACAGAAGCCACUCCUCAGUUAAAGGCACAUGACAGCCCACUUGGAGUUUUCCAAAAGGUACCUAAAGACUCACAGACCAUGAGAAACAAGAUUCUCUGGUCUGAUGAAACCAAGAUUGAACAAUUUGGUCUGAAUGCCAAGCGUCACGUCUGGAGGAAACAUGAACCCAUCCCUAUGGUGAAGCAUGGUGAUGGCAAGGACUGGGAGACUAGUCAGGAUCGAGGCAAAGAUUAACAGAGAAAAGUACAGAUAAAUCCUUGAUGAAAACCUGCUCCAGAGUGCUCAGGACCUCAGACUGGGGCAAAGGUUCACCUUCCAACAGGUAGCAAUGCUCCCCAUCAUACCUGACAAAAACUCCCCAAAUAAAGGUGUGCAACGCUUGUAGCGUCAUACCCAAGAAGUGUCCCCAGGAUCUCCAUGAGGAAGCACCACAGAGUGUUCAUCCAGCUCAGCUGCAGCUCAGAGUACUGGUACCCAGAGCCUGACAUGUUGUGGACAGACAGCAAUGGGAAGGAGAUCACCUCAGCAGAGACAGAGAGGCCCAAACAAAAGGAGGGGGGUGUCCUGUACUUCAUCACCAGUCACAUGAGAAUAGGAAAUUACAAACUGGAGGGGGUCACAUGUGUGGUGAUGUCACAGUUCCAGGGAACCAAGAUGGAGACUACACUGCAGAUGACUGGUGAGUUUAGGAACUGGAAUAUACUGCAGCCCAGGAAUGGGCAACUGGCGGCCCCCCUUUCGUAGGCCCGUGGACCAAUUUGACCACCUCCAAAAAAUCUUAAUUUACUGUUGAGAAUUAGAAUAAUAGAAUACACAAGGUGAAAUUUGCAUCAGCAAUCACUCAGUCAGCCCAUGUCAGCAAAGCAUUUCUAGAUUGACAAGUUAGUCUAGCGGCCAGCUAUCUAAACUUGUAGUAAGCAUGGUUGAAUUACUGACCGGCGUGGGGUCUAUUGAUCACCAGUUAUAACAUUAAAAACUGCACAUUAAAAACUAUAAACAUUAUUAACACCCUAUGGCAAAAAUAAUGACUUCUGUUUCUUUGUGGCCCCCACCCCAUCAAAGUUGCCCGUCGCUGCUGUCGACCAAUGCCCUGACAAGAGUCAGCCUGUUUGUUCAUUGCUAGUGUGUAAAUAAUGUGUUGAUAAUGUGUAAAGUUACGACUAAAGGUACAUCUUAUAUAAGAUUAAAAUUAGGUUUGAGUGUAUUUUGUAAAAAUGUGGAAUGUUGAACCUUAUACAAUUUGCAAAACGAAUGUAUUUCAAUGGUUAACUAAUCCUGCCUAAUCCAACCCUGCUUGUGUUACAGAUGAAUUCUACAUGAGCAGUCUGCCUGACAGGGUGUACAUCUCUGCAUUUAUGAUUCCUGUGUUUCUGGGGCUGCUGUGUAUCACUGCAUCUGUGCUCUCCUUAAUCCAUCAGAGACGAGUUGUUCGAGAAACACUGAAGCCUUUGGAUGAUAUGAAUACAAAAUGAAAAGCUAUGGAUCAAGAGCUCAUCAAAAAGACAGAGGAAGUCACUUAUAAGGAUAGGUUAAUGGGAAUUACUGAAACAAUCCCAGACUCUGGUAACUAUCGGCUCCUUUCACAUUAAUGCUGCACAAACUUCAAGUGAUUUGUCAUCUAAAUAUAUAAUCCAUGCAGUUUUGUUUUCAUAUAUAUAAUGUGUUCCGAAAUGAUUGACACCCUUGAUAAAGAUGUGCAACAAUGACUGGAUAAAAUAAAUAAUUAAAAUACUGAGUAAUAUUGUAUGCUCAAAAAAAUAUAAAAAAAAAUAUAUUAUUUAUUAGUAAUACAAUUGCUCAGAGAAAUAGAUUUUCCUGAAAAGUACUCUUUUUUUCUGAAAAUGUAGAGGUUAAAAUUAUUGACACACUGUCACGUCCUGACCAUAGUUCUUAUGUGUUUUGCUUGUUUUAGUGUUGGUCAGGACGUGAGCUGGGUGGGCAUUCUAUGUUGUGUGUCUAGUUUUCUGUUUCUAUGUUUGGCCUGAUAUGGUUCUCAAUCAGAGGCAGAUGUUUUGUGUUGUCUCUGAUUGGGAAUCAUAUAUAGGUGGCUUGUUUUGUGUUGGGAUUUUUUGGGUGGUUGUUUCCUGUCUCUGUGUUUUGUCUGCACCAGAUAGGGCUGUAUUCGGUAAGCCACGUUUGUUAUUUUGUACGUGUUCACAGUUUUGUCUUGUUUAAAUAUGUUGAACACGGAAUACGCUGCGUCUUGGUCCGAUCCCUGCUACCGUUACACACACCUGUUUUCAAUACAUUUCAAUACCUCACCUUGUGUGGAUUAUGACACUGAGCCUUUUUCUAAAAUGUUUUAGAACAUACAGAAACCUUCCAGAUCUUUGGUAUCGUUCAUCUGUAACUCCAUCUUCAAUUCAAACCAUAGGUUUUCAAUGGGUUUCAAGUCCGGAGACUGAAAAUGUCGUGUGCUUGGGGUCAUUGUCUUGCUGAAAGGUCCACUUGCAGCCAAGUAUCAGCCUCCUGGCAGAGGCAACCAGGUUUCUGGCUAAAAUGUCAUGGUACUGGGUAUAUUUCAUGAUGCCGUUACACCUUUACAAGGACCCCAGGACCAGUGGAGCAAAAUAACCCCAUAACAUCAAAGAUCCACCAUAUUUGACAGUAGUUAGGGGGUUAUUUUCUGCUCAUGUCUUCUCAUUUCGACACCAAACCCACCACAGGUGUGCGUGGCCAAAUAGCUCUAUUUUACUUAUUAGCGGGGACUGCAAUUAUUGACACCCUUGAUAAAGAUGAGCAAUAACUGUAUUCAAUAAUUAAUUCAGAUACUGAGCUAUAUUGUACAUUAAAAAAAUCCUGAAAAUAUAUUUUUUUAUACAGAUACAAUUGCUCAGAGAAAUAGAUUUUGUUGAACAAACUAUAUAUUUAUUUUUUGUCAAAAAGGUAGGGGUCAACAUUGACAAAUAUUAUUGACACCCAUAAAGAUUCUUAUGAAUAAAGUGUUCAAAAGUUUAGUAUUCGGUCCCAUAUUCCUAGAACGCAAUGACUACAUUAAGCUUGUGACUAUAAAACCAUGUUGGAUACAUUUUCAAUUCGUUUUGGUUGUGUUUCAGAAUAUUUCGCGCCCAAUAGAAGUUAAUGGUAAAUAAUGUAUCGUGUCAUUUGAGUCACUUUUACUACAAAUAAGAAUAAAAUGUGCUGCUAUACACUUCUAAUUGUGUUCUUAUGAAAGUGACUCCAAAAUGAUACAAUACAUUAUUUGCCAUUAAUUUCUAUUAAGCACAAAAUGAUCUGAAAUACAACCAAAACCAAGUGUUUAGAAACAUUUACAAUAAAAGUGACUCCAAAAUGACUCUAAUAACCACAUAGUCAUUGUAUCAUUUCAAGUUCAAAGUGCCGGAUUACAGAGCUAAUACAACCAAAAAUGUGUCACUGUUCCAAUACUUUUGUAUAAAUAUAUACUUCCAUCAAUUCCUUUUCUUCUUCCCCU